AGUUCAAGGGAGGAAAGUGAAAAGUGUUUUUUUAACCUAAAUAAUACAUAUUUAUUUAUUUUUACAUAAUUAGAUAGAAGAAUAUAUUGGCCCGGGACCCAGUGGCGGGACGUGUGGUACAUUGAUGGGCCGUUAUUGGGCUUUUGAAACAUCCUAUUGGUGGGCCCAAUUAGGUUUAAUCUGGGCCCAGCAUCUGUAAAUCCUGCGUCUUUCUCCCCAGCAAUCUCAUUCAACGCUCCGUCAAUUCGCUGUUCGAUCUUCUUGAAUUUGGUUGGGAUGAGUUUGUUCAGAUUGUUCGUUUCCCGCCAAGAUGCGGUGAAUUGGUGGCAUGGAUUCUCGUUCGUGGUCGUCAGCUUCGUUUUCCUUCUGGUUUUUCUCUAUGCGGCGCUCGUUUCCAAGCUUCUUCCACCUUCUGGCAAUAUCUUCUUAUCUGCUGUUCAGAACGACUGGUACUACUGUCUCCUGGUGCCCUUGACAUUACCUAUCCUUUAUGUUGCCGUUUAUUUCCAUUGGCUAAGCAUGAAACUUUUCAAGCAUGCUUAAUCAUGUGAAGAUGCAAUUAUGUUUAGGUUGUGACUCCUGAGGUGAUUUAUUGGAGGCUUGGAGGCAUAUAUGAUGAUCACACCGAAUGAAUUCCCCAUCGACAAGACUACGAACCGUUUUUAGUCCAUCGGAAAUUCUUUCAUUGUGGUUAGAUGAGGACACGAGGCAUUCCAACUAAAGCUGAAAGCCAAGAGUGAUCUAAAUUCACACUGCCUAAGCACAGGCUCCAUAACCCAAGGUAAGUAUCUCCAAAGCCAAGCUUUGGCAACCAACUUAGGCUUGUGGUUGGUAUGGACAAUCUUGAAUCUUGAACAUUGUUCGUAUGAUUUUUUAUUAAUUAAAUAUUAUAUAAACAAGCCAACAAUAUAGACCAUGAUGAGGAGUCAAGAUAUACUAUUGUUCAUUUCUUAUUGUAAUUUCAAACCUUCAGUACCAGCUCUCUCACUUUAAACUUCGAUAAUUGAGAAUCGUUCGAUUGCAUCGACUCAAUUUCACACAAGAUAA
Non-coding RNA from Momordica charantia (bitter melon), 1047 nucleotides. The record is from RefSeq and is a predicted model, not a curated record. Lineage: Eukaryota; Viridiplantae; Streptophyta; Magnoliopsida; Cucurbitales; Cucurbitaceae.